CAGUCGAGCGGACAGAUGGGAGCUUGCUCCCUGAUGUUAGCGGCGGACGGGUGAGUAACACGUGGGUAACCUGCCUGUAAGACUGGGAUAACUCCGGGAAACCGGGGCUAAUACCGGAUGGUUGUUUGAACCGCAUGGUUCAGACAUAAAAGGUGGCUUCGGCUACCACUUACAGAUGGACCCGCGGCGCAUUAGCUAGUUGGUGAGGUAACGGCUCACCAAGGCAACGAUGCGUAGCCGACCUGAGAGGGUGAUCGGCCACACUGGGACUGAGACACGGCCCAGACUCCUACGGGAGGCAGCAGUAGGGAAUCUUCCGCAAUGGACGAAAGUCUGACGGAGCAACGCCGCGUGAGUGAUGAAGGUUUUCGGAUCGUAAAGCUCUGUUGUUAGGGAAGAACAAGUGCCGUUCAAAUAGGGCGGCACCUUGACGGUACCUAACCAGAAAGCCACGGCUAACUACGUGCCAGCAGCCGCGGUAAUACGUAGGUGGCAAGCGUUGUCCGGAAUUAUUGGGCGUAAAGGGCUCGCAGGCGGUUUCUUAAGUCUGAUGUGAAAGCCCCCGGCUCAACCGGGGAGGGUCAUUGGAAACUGGGGAACUUGAGUGCAGAAGAGGAGAGUGGAAUUCCACGUGUAGCGGUGAAAUGCGUAGAGAUGUGGAGGAACACCAGUGGCGAAGGCGACUCUCUGGUCUGUAACUGACGCUGAGGAGCGAAAAGCGUGGGGAGCGAACAGGAUUAAAUACCCUGGUAGUCCACCCCGUAAACGAUGAGUGCUAAGUGUUAGGGGGUUUCCGCCCC
This 800-nucleotide ribosomal RNA is filed under the name Bacillus velezensis. Its description in RNAcentral is "bacterial SSU rRNA". It matches the Rfam family "Bacterial small subunit ribosomal RNA", at positions 59 to 839 of the family's 1533-position model. The record is from RNAcentral. Lineage: Bacteria; Bacillati; Bacillota; Bacilli; Caryophanales; Bacillaceae.